UGGAAGUAAAAUCGUAACAAGGUUUCCGUAGGUGAACCUGCGGAAGGAUCAUUACUGAGUUAGGGUUCCUUUUGGGCCCGAACCUCCCAACCCUUUGUUAACUUAUCUUUGUUGCUUUGGCAGGCCGUAGCAUUCGUGCUCCAUCGGCUUCGGCUUUUGUGUGCCUGCCAGAGGUCAUUUUUAAACUCUUGUUAUAACUUUAUUGUCUGAAUAUAAAAAAAAUAGCCUAAAACUUUUAACAACGGAUCUCUUGGUUCUGGCAUCGAUGAAGAACGCAGCGAAAUGCGAUAAGUAAUGUGAAUUGCAGAAUUCAGUGAAUCAUCGAAUCUUUGAACGCACAUUGCGCCCUUUGGUAUUCCGAAGGGCAUGCCUGUUCGAGCGUCAUUACACCUCUCAAGCUCUGCUUGGUAUUGGAGGCCUUCUCUUCGGAGGAGCCCCCGAAAAUUAGCGGCGAUGCGGCCAGACUUUAAGCGCAGUAAUCUAUUCAUCUCGCUUAUUAAAGUCCUUGGACGUUGUCUGCCGGACAACUCUUUCAUUGCUUUUCAAGCAGUGAAAACUUUUCUAUGGUUGACCUCGGAUCAGGUAGGGAUAC
RNAcentral lists this ribosomal RNA (592 nucleotides) under Claviradulomyces xylopiae. Its description in RNAcentral is "eukaryotic LSU rRNA". The stretch from base 231 to 384 matches the Rfam family "5.8S ribosomal RNA". Lineage: Eukaryota; Fungi; Ascomycota; Lecanoromycetes; Ostropales; Odontotremataceae. The record is from RNAcentral.